CGUUCAGUCGCGCAUGCGCAACAUCCUAUUAGGUUCUGUACUGGAAUUAGUUCACCUGUUUUAGAGUCGUUCGUUCACCUUAUGGGGCUGUCACGUGAUGAACGAACGAUUCAAACCCGAAGACUCAAAAGAUGAACUAAUCAAUUCUCCUUCCGGCUCAGGCUGCAUAGGUUAACAUUACAGGGCUGUCACGUGAUGAACGAACGACUCAAACCCGAAGACUCAUAAGAUGAACUAAUCAAUUCUCUUUCCGGCUCAGGCUGCAUAGGUUAACAUUACAGGGCUGUCACGUGAUGAACGAACGACUCAAACCCGAAGACUCAUAAGAUGAACUAAUCAAUUCUCUUUCCGGCUCAGGCUGCAUAGGUUAACAUUACAGGGCUGUCACGUGAUGAACGAACGACUCAAACCCGAAGACUCAUAAGAUGAACUAAUCAAUUCUCCUUCCGGCUCAGGCUGCAUAGGUUAACAUUACAGGGCUGUCACGUGAUGAACGAACGACUCAAACCCGAAGACUCAUAAGAUGAACUAAUCAAUUCUCUUUCCGGCUCAGGCUGCAUAGGUUAACAUUACAGGGCUGUCACGUGAUGAACGAACGACUCAAACCCGAGGACUCGAGAGAUGAACUAAUCAAUUCUCUUUCCGGCUCAGACUGCGUUGGUUAGCUAAUUGGGCUGUCACGUGAUGAACGAACAACUCAAACCCGAAAACUUGUCAGAUAAGAGGCGAGGUGAGCGAAUCAUAGACUAAAGACCCAGGUAAACAAUGAAUGAAUCUUUUCUGUUUCUUAUAGCAUUAUAGUUUUGUUUUGUUUGUAGUGUGAUCAACGUUUGUGUAAGCAGUAGAUGUGUUAGGGAGGUAAAACGUAACAUUUUAAUUAUAUUUUGCUAAAAUGAACGAAAUGAACGAAAUGACUCGAAAAAAGAUUCGUUCAUUUUGCUGAACGAGACUCAAAGGACCGAGUCGGUAAAAUGAUCCGAACUUCCCAUCACUAAUUCCGUGUACUGAUUCAUUGCUGCUCCCCGUGUUAGAAUAAUUCGCUUAUAAAACGUUUGCAAUAUUACAGUUUGAUUUCUUCAGUCAGUCUUUGGCAGUGCUUAUCUUAGUAAGUAAAUUAUGUGCGUUAAAUGUAAAUCCAUGAUCAUCUUUUAUUUAUAUUUACAUUUUAAAAAAUAUUAUAUAAUAUACAGUAGUCAACACUUGAAGUGGAUCAAAAAAGUUCAUCAAAGUCCUAAGACAAGAACGGGUAUUGUUUUGGUUUUAGGAGAAUUUUGAUGAAAGGUAUUAUAUAUGAAGAGUUCAGAUGCAAAACCAGCUAAAUCCAUCUGACGUUUUUCUUUAAAAUGAGCAUUUCUUUCUGGCUACUUUGUAUAGGUUUCUAUGUAAGUACUGGCACUUCUGAUUGGGCUGAGGCUGGAAUUUAGCGAGUUUAAAGUAAAAGUAUUUGAUGGAUGUAUAAUAUGUGUCAGGAGCAUUCACUCACUAUCAUUAUCUCAUUUUUGACCGAGAUGGCUUUUAGCCGGUUUUGCAUCUGAACUCUUCAUAUAUAUAUAUGUGUGUGUGUGUGUGUGUGUAUGUAUAUAUAUAUAUGUAUAUAGUCCAGUAGCUCAGUGUUGCAGUUUCAUGCCUGUUGUACUGACUUGAGCAUCAGAUCCUUCUGAAAUGAGUAAGAAGAGCCCUCUCUGUGGCUGAUGAUGUGUGUGUGUUUAAUAAAUCUGUGCUUCAUCUCCGCUGGAUGCUUGGAGUUAAUGAAGUACAUUUACCUAAUACGGUUAGGGUUUUUUAUGUUUACAGUCACACACAGUUUAUUAUAACAAAGUCACAAGUAAGAAGUGCUGAUAUCGGAUGGGCUGAGAGGUUUACUCUUGAAUUAGGCCGUCCAUUUUCUCGUUUGACCCAUUCGGGUAGAUUUGCAGACGGUUACAAGCACGAGAGCCAAUCACAGUGGGACGGAGGAACUGCCUCACCCCUCAUUAACUUCCACCAAUUUAUUUCCUGAUUCCUCAAAGAAAAGGCCUCCGUAUGCCGUCCGCAGUGUGCAAAUCUCCUGUUUGGAUGGGGCAGCUGUUCGAUCUACGUGCAUUACGUGUGGGAUACCGUAUCCCAUAAUGCAAAGCGCCUGGCUUGACCUUCCAUUUCUAGUGUGACGAAUGAACAUGCUGUAGUGUGCAGUGCGCCAGUGUUCCCUUCGAUCACAUGCUCCGCUGCUGGAGGACGGUGACAUUAACCGCAGCGCGGCGGUGGGCGAGUCCGUCGUCAGAUGAAAGAGCCGUCUGUCUCACUGAAGACUUCAUGUCUGCCGGGUCCCGUCCACAACAUUCUGUGACGCUUCUGGAAUUCGUAUUGAUCGUGGAGACACUUAGACACUGAAAUCUGGCCCCCCGGGUCAGUGCAGAACAACAUCUCUGAUCUUUUUAUGCUGGAUAAAAGACCACAAAGAAGCGUUUGAGAGGAAAAAAAACUUUCUUUUUGUGUUCCGCAGAUAGAAAGAAAGCCAUACAGGUCUGAAAUAACAUGAGGAUGAAGUGGGUGAACGUUGGGUGAAGUAGUACCUAUUAUUAGUAUUACAAUAUAUGCUUUUGGAAAGCAGUAGUGCUGUUUAUGUCAAGCCAGAAUUUGAAUGCAUUUUGGCAGAGUUUUUCUAAAAUCUUUUCCCUUUAUUCAGAAGUAUAUGUGCCAACAUCUGGCAACUCCACCGACUGUCACUGAUAGAAAGGUGAUUGUGCUUGAAUUAGAGUCUUGAGGAGCGCUGGAGACGUGUUGAAUCACUGCUCUGGUGUGAAGCUGAAGCGAGGAGGUGAAACAUCUGUGUUUGAGAUGUGAGAGUCGUGUGGAGUCGAUGAGAAAAUGGUGAAGGCACCUGACGUUUGCCAAGUCAAUCUAACCCGCCUCACGAAGCCGUUUCCCCACAGAUCCGGGCCAGAAUGAUAAACUACCGUGCAUAAACAAAAUUCCUCUUCUUGCGUGUCUCAAAUAAAAAGCUUGUUAAUUUACCGUUUGCACUUCUGCAGAGUUGGAAAAAACAACAUCUGGUUUGUGACCAACAAAAACAUGAGGUCACUUGUAAGGGAUCGGUGUUUCAGCUGACUAGUUUAGAGCUGGCGACGAAGGGCCCCCAAAACCCCCCGCGAUUCCCGCGUGAGUCAUACGUGAGUCAGGCCAAACGGAGCGGGUGGAGAUUGUCGCGUACGAUCGCGCACGCUGGACUGAACACCGAACAACAAGGCCCAUCCAAGUAAAAGCAAAGAGUGUCACUCAUUCAGAUGUUCUCCAAGCAAAUUCCACAGGGAUUUGUGUUUCUGCCAACAGCGGCUCUGCAGCUUCUCCAGCCAGCCCAUGAACGCAGGAGAGUCAAACGCCGACAAAACGCGCCCCUGUGCUCGGUUCUUUUGUAUUUUUAUCCAACUUUUGAUUUUUCAUCUGUAUUUGAUUUUGUAAUGAACAGUCCAAACAGUCCAGAGCUGCGUUUCCCAAAAGACUGACCCUCACCUACAGAUUGAGAACUUAUUUGUUUUUACAGCAUAUGGUUAGAAACGAAUGACUCGAUUUCUUUUUUUUUUUUUUUUUAUAAAUUAACCUCAAACAGGUUUGUUGAAUUAAGCUCUCAUGGGGCAUUUUUGCAUUCUUUUCAAGGUCGAUGAGUAAGUCUGUGAAGACUUGAGAGGCACGUUGAGGGUUUGGGUUUUUCUAAAGCAUGAUCAGGGACAAAUAGCAGUUUAGCAUGUCAGAGAUGUGGGUUAGGGUUAGGGUUAGGGCUAAUGCUAACGUUGUGCAGCGUUUGUUAAACUAGUGGAGGCUCACGGACCUUUUAACGUCCUUGAUGAAAGAGCUCAUUAAGUCACGCGGUCAAAGUCACGGUUUUAUUUCAGGGAACGUGUAUGAAAUGGUAGGAAUUUGAUACGAAAAUCUGUUUGUUUGCAUCGAAAUGUUUUUGUGUUCCUCUCUGUAGAACCGCCAUGCAAGGCUUACAGUCGCUAAUGUCUGUUUGUUUUUUAGCUGUAUGUAGAUGCACUAGCAUGUUAUGAUUGAUUAGAGGUGUUAACUACUAAUCACUAGUACUAGUGUGUGUGAUCAUGUGUGUUGUUGAGGAGAAUGUGCUGCUACUGCAUUGAUCAGAUGCACCGUUUCAUCUGUUGGAGCAGAAAACAGCUGAGAAACCCCACAGACACACAUCUACAGACCAGAGCUCGAUUCAAGAAUACAUCAAGAACGCUUUAUUACCGUAGCACUAGCAUUGUGGCGUCGUCGUGCUCAAACAAACACCUCUCACAUGUUCCCCAGAAAGAGUCAGAAUGGAGUUUGUUCUCGUUGCUGUGAGCUUUGAGUCCUCUGACGGACGACUGUGUUUUCCUCGCCGGUCAUGAGGACAAGAAAUCAAAUCUCACAUAAUUAGAUCAAAACACACAACAUAACUGGUCUAAUUGCUGCUGGAUGAAGCUCCGUGUUUCUGUUUCAAGUGAACGCAAAGUGCUCGCUAUAAACACCGUUUGACAAACCGUUCAUGUUGUUUGAUUUGGAUUGUCAGCAGUAACGCACCUGAAAAACAUGCCU
Molecule: long non-coding RNA, 4551 nt
Organism: Labeo rohita (rohu)
Lineage: Eukaryota; Metazoa; Chordata; Actinopteri; Cypriniformes; Cyprinidae
Exons: 3
Source: RefSeq, a predicted model, not a curated record